UCCUAGGUAGUCCAGUGGCUAAGACUCUGCACUCCCAAUGCAGGGGGCCUGGGUUCGAUCCCUCAUCAGGGAA
This 73-nucleotide transfer RNA is filed under the name Bos indicus (zebu cattle). It matches the Rfam family "tRNA". Rfam says of the family: Transfer RNA (tRNA) molecules are approximately 80 nucleotides in length. Their secondary structure includes four short double-helical elements and three loops (D, anti-codon, and T loops). The record is from Rfam by way of RNAcentral. Lineage: Eukaryota; Metazoa; Chordata; Mammalia; Artiodactyla; Bovidae.